GUCCUAGCCGUAAACGUUGGGUGCUAGGUGUGGGGAUAUCGACCCCUUCCGUGCCGAAGCUAACGCAUUAAGCACCCCGCCUGGGGAGUACGGCCGCAAGGCUAAAACUCAAAGGAAUUGACGGGGCCCGCACAAGCGGCGGAGCAUGUGGCUUAAUUCGAUGCGACGCGAAGAACCUUACCUGGGCUUGACAUGCGGGGCAAAAGUUGUCGAAAGACAGCGCUCUACGGAGCCCGCACAGGUGGUGCAUGGCUGUCGU
This 259-nucleotide ribosomal RNA is filed under the name uncultured bacterium. RNAcentral describes it as "partial 16S ribosomal RNA". It matches the Rfam family "Bacterial small subunit ribosomal RNA", at positions 793 to 1055 of the family's 1533-position model. The record is from RNAcentral.